GCCUCUGUGGCGCAAUUGGAUAGCGCGUUGGACUUCUAAUCCAAAGGCUGCGGGUUCGAAUCCCGCCAGGGGUA
Molecule: transfer RNA, 74 nt
Organism: Plasmodium falciparum RAJ116
Lineage: Eukaryota; Apicomplexa; Aconoidasida; Haemosporida; Plasmodiidae
Rfam family: tRNA
About the family: Transfer RNA (tRNA) molecules are approximately 80 nucleotides in length.
Source: Rfam